RNAcentral lists this long non-coding RNA (549 nucleotides) under Lynx pardinus (Iberian lynx). Lineage: Eukaryota; Metazoa; Chordata; Mammalia; Carnivora; Felidae. The record is from RNAcentral.
CCUCUGAGCAUCUGUUAGGGUACAGACCUUCUGUGGAGAGAACAGGCUUACUCCAAGGAGGAAUUCCUGUGAACUGGAGCUCCACACUGGGGAUGAGGGGCAAUAAUCAGAGCAAAGCACUCUGCACACUCCCAGAUUCAACCCUAUUCAGUGUGUUCAUAACUCACAAGUCCUGACCAACUGAGGGAGAAAGCCAGGGAAAUGAAAUGAUUUUCAAAGCGCUUCAAGACCACUGUCUAGCUGAGGAUAGCAGAAGACACAGAUUUACUGCCACUGGGCGAUGUUUGGCAUGGAGAUGUGGAAAGAGAUGACAGAAGCCAGGUCUCUUGUUUCCAGGUAAUAGUUUCUCCAAGAAGCCUUGUCCUAGAAGUUAUUCAUCCUUACAUGCUUCAGCAUGAUAAAUAGCUUCAUUCAGCACCCUGAGAUGACCCAGCAGCCUAGCGCAUCAGAGGGGUAGAUGUAGCCCACACUAAAUUGCCUUUAGUGAACUGAGCAUUGACAUUAUGCCAUUGGAUUGCAUUGACUGGUCUUAUAAGAACCAGCACUUUC